Molecule: ribosomal RNA, 397 nt
Filed under: uncultured bacterium
Lineage: Bacteria
Description: bacterial SSU rRNA
Rfam family: Bacterial small subunit ribosomal RNA
Source: RNAcentral
AUUGGACAAUGGGGGGAACCCUGAUCCAGCGACGCCGCGUGAGUGAAGAAGUAUCUCGGUAUGUAAAGCACUAUCAGCAGGGAAGAAGAACUGACGGUACCUGAGUAAGAAGCCCCGGCUAACUACGUGCCAGCAGCCGCGGUAAUACGUAGGGGGCAAGCGUUAGCCGGAAUUACUGGGUGUAAAGGGGGCGUAGACGGUGAGGUAAGUCUGGAGUGAAAUGCCGGGGCUUAACCCCGGAACUGCUUUGGAAACUGUGCAGCUAGAGUGCAGGAGAGGUAAGUGGAAUUCCUAGUGUAGCGGUGAAAUGCGUAGAUAUUAGGAGGAACACCAGUGGCGAAGGCGGCUUACUGGACUGUAACUGACGUUGAGGCUCGAAAGCGUGGGGAGCAAACAG